GAGAGAGAGAGAGAGUCCCUUCCCACCCCACCCCACUCUCCUCGCGCGCCCCCCGCUCCGGAGGGCGAUCUCGGGAGGAACGGCGGGCGUCCCGCGGCGAGUUGUAUUAUAUGGUUGUCGGCCGCGAUUUUGCUGUUAAUCUUGUCAAGUUGGUGAGUACCUGGAAGCUGCAAUGACUGAAAACACCCAGGGCAGUGUCCGGCGGGCCUUUGGAGACCUGACAAAUGUCCUUGGCAAGCGGCCAGCCUCAUGCGAUCUGGAGAAGAAUGCAGGUGGAGUCAAGAUUAGUCGGGUCGAAAAGGUCGCUGACCCUAGGAAAGAGUCUGAUGAAAAGGCAAAGGCCAAUGCUGGGGCAUCAGGAAACCUUUUUGAAGUUCUGGUUGAUGGUAUUGGCAAAGAGGACUUCGCAAGGACUUCAAUUUUCCGUGGAGCCAAGGUUCAGCACAUGGCUGCUCAGGCAGCUGGGCUACUAUCCAAGGAUGAUGAUGACGCGAGGAAUCGUUGCGUAUCUUUGGAUUCUUCUGGCCUCAACGACAAGGCGGAGUCUUCCUUGGAAUCAGAGGGUGGCUGUGAAGGGGAAGAUGAUGAAGACACUGAUAGAAAUCAGAAUUCGCAGUCUUCAUUUGACGCUACAGCUCGUGAUGACAUGACAUGUACAAAUGUCCAGCAUCCUCCAAUGGAGGUUGGUGGCUUGGAAAAAUCAUGUGCUACAAAGUCUUGCACUUGCUCUUUCUGUCUUAAGGCUGCUUUUAUGUGGACUAAUCUCCAUUAUCAGGAUGCAAGAAGCCGGCUUGGUGCAUUGAAGAAGAGCAUAAAGUUUGCUAGAUCGCUAGAGGCAAAGAGGCAAGGAAAUGAAUUCAAUGCAGACAGAUACUCAAAAAGAGCUGCAGAGAUGGGAUUCAAACUAUCUCAACAACAGAGAUCACUCUUUCUUCAUACUGAAAAUGCCCUUGUUCGUGAAUCUGCCCAGCUCCAUUCAGCUGUCGUCAAGUUAAAGGACUUGAGAGACAACUGCAAGAAAGAUCUGAAGAUCUGAUCAUCAAUUCUUCGCCGGGGAGACGAGUCCUGCAUGCACGGUUGUGCUCUGGUAAACUUGUUACCCUGGGAUGUAGUAGGAUAAGCUGGAUCUUUUUGAAUCAAGAUGUGUACGGUAUUUGGUUGUCAACUAGCAAGUUAGGGGGUUCUCAAGUAGGAAAUUCGGCCGUAGAGAUUACUCCUAACUUAAAACAUAGGCCAGCAUCUUAGCCUCUGAAGAUCGUCUGAGGAAAUGCUUUUGUAAAAACCUUAGAGGGAGUUGUGAACUGUAGGUUUGUGACAGGAGUCCUUUCAGUCGCUCAGUCAGCACGUGGAUGUGAGAUAGCACCAUUUUGUUUCCUGCUCUCCAAAGAGCCAAACGGGAAGUGCAAAUAAUGUCAUUUGACUAGUUUUUCCAUGCUUGCUGCUGAUGUUUCCACCGUUUCGUGCUGCAUCCCGUGAGAACUGCAUAUGUUUUUGUCUGCUGCUGUCGAUGAAUUGAUUGCC
This 1521-nucleotide ribosomal RNA is filed under the name Triticum aestivum (bread wheat). RNAcentral's name for it is "partial small subunit ribosomal RNA". Lineage: Eukaryota; Viridiplantae; Streptophyta; Magnoliopsida; Poales; Poaceae. The record is from RNAcentral.